CUCCCCUGGCAAUGGGUGAAGAGACAUUUUGGUGGUGGUGGUGUUCUUCUCUCAGCCAGGGGCAGAGCAGAUGACAGCCCUUUGUUCGUCCUAGCUUGAUGCCCGGCUUGGUGGCCAAAGCUGUUUAACGCCUAGGACACAUAA
Small nucleolar RNA from Meriones unguiculatus (Mongolian gerbil), 144 nucleotides. RefSeq annotates it as small nucleolar RNA SNORA48. Lineage: Eukaryota; Metazoa; Chordata; Mammalia; Rodentia; Muridae. The record is from RefSeq and is a predicted model, not a curated record. The transcript has a single exon.